Molecule: ribosomal RNA, 807 nt
Filed under: Dermacentor nuttalli
Lineage: Eukaryota; Metazoa; Arthropoda; Arachnida; Ixodida; Ixodidae
Description: SSU rRNA
Rfam family: Eukaryotic small subunit ribosomal RNA
Source: RNAcentral
UCGUCUCUAUAUAAAAAUCAAAUAUGGUUCCUUAGAUCGUUUCUUCCUACUUGGAUAACUGUGGCAAUUCUAGAGCUAAUACAUGCAGUGAGCCUGAAGCCCUUUGGGCGACGGGUGCUUUUAUUAGACCAAGAUCGAUCGGGUUUCGGCCCGUAUUGUGUGGUGACUCUGGAUAACUUUGUGCUGAUCGCAUGGCCACGAGCCGGCGACGUUUCUUUCAAGUGUCUGCCUUAUCAACUUUCGAUGGUAGGUUACUUGCUUACCAUGGUUGUUACGGGUAACGGAGAAUCAGGGUUCGAUUCCGGAGAGGGAGCCUGAGAAACGGCUACCACAUCCAAGGAAGGCAGCAGGCGCGCAAAUUACCCACUCCCGGCACGGGGAGGUAGUGACGAAAAAUAACAAUACGGGACUCUUUUGAGGCCCCGUAAUUGAAAUGAGUACACUCUAAAUCCUUUAACGAGGAUCAAUUGGAGGGCAAGUCUGGUGCCAGCAGCCGCGGUAAUUCCAGCUCCAAUAGCGUAUACUAAAGCUGCUGCGGUUAAAAAGCUCGUAGUUGGAUCUCAGUUCCAGACGAGUAGUGCAUCUACCCGAUGCGACGGCUCGGACUGAACAUCAUGCCGGUCCUUUCUUGGUGCACUUCAUUGUGUGCCUCGAGAAGGCCGGUGCUUUUACUUUGAAAAAAUUAGAGUGCUCAACGCAGGCGAGUCGCCUGAAUAAACUUGCAUGGAAUAAUAGAACAAGACCUCGUUUCUGUUCUGUUGGUUUUUGGAAUACGAGGUAAUGAUUAAGAGGGACAGACGGGGGCAU